CCUUUUACAUUAUUCGCGAUACGAUCCGUACCUUUAACCGCUACAGUAGCUUUCCACUACAGGACACCGUGGGCCGUCGCAUCCUGGUAUGGAACGAGCCGAAGUACCAUUUCCAGGAUUCCCGUCGUUGUGCUCUCAAACAACGAGGUGUUUCCAGAUGACGAGGCCUUCAACCACCGCAUGUGGCGCUACAAGUGGCGAGCGUGUCCUCCACUAAAGAAAUACGACAAGAAAAUCCACCCGACGGCCUUGGUGCUCCUUUACGACACUUUUGUACUCGAAGAAACAUACGCCGGCACGCGCCAACUUGAUCAAUAAACAACUUU
Rhipicephalus sanguineus (brown dog tick) is the source of this 326-nucleotide long non-coding RNA. RefSeq lists it as uncharacterized. Lineage: Eukaryota; Metazoa; Arthropoda; Arachnida; Ixodida; Ixodidae. The record is from RefSeq and is a predicted model, not a curated record. The transcript has 2 exons.